UACGUAGGUGGCAAGCGUUGUCCGGAAUUAUUGGGCGUAAAGCGCGCGCAGGCGGUUCCUUAAGUCUGAUGUGAAAGCCCCCGGCUCAACCGGGGAGGGUCAUUGGAAACUGGGGAACUUGAGUACUGAAGAGGAAAGCGGAAUUCCACGUGUAGCGGUGAAAUGCGUAGAGAUGUGGAGGAACACCAGUGGCGAAGGCGGCUUUCUGGUCAGUAACUGACGCUGAGGCGCGAAAGCGUGGGGAGCAAACAGGAUUAGAAACCCCCGUAGUCC
RNAcentral lists this ribosomal RNA (273 nucleotides) under uncultured bacterium. RNAcentral describes it as "partial 16S ribosomal RNA". It matches the Rfam family "Bacterial small subunit ribosomal RNA", at positions 524 to 796 of the family's 1533-position model. The record is from RNAcentral.